CAGUAUGGCCAAACCUCCUCCUGAUCUAAGAUUUCAGAAGCUAAACAAGGCUGGGUGUGGUUAAUACUUAGAUGGGAGACCACUAGGACCACAGUGAGGUGGCAAUACUAG
RNAcentral lists this ribosomal RNA (111 nucleotides) under Periophthalmus magnuspinnatus. The record is from RNAcentral. Lineage: Eukaryota; Metazoa; Chordata; Actinopteri; Gobiiformes; Gobiidae.